AUAAUUUGGAAGAUAACAGAAGGUGUCUAGGUUUAAGUGGAGAAGUGGUCUCUACGCUUUGUUAAUUAAGUGAGAUUCAACUCCUCCAACUUAUUCCUGGUUCUUCCUAGUCGU
RNAcentral lists this microRNA precursor (114 nucleotides) under Polistes canadensis. Its description in RNAcentral is "microRNA pca-mir-1175 precursor". The stretch from base 29 to 98 matches the Rfam family "mir-1175 microRNA precursor family". Lineage: Eukaryota; Metazoa; Arthropoda; Insecta; Hymenoptera; Vespidae. The record is from miRBase by way of RNAcentral.